ACCGCUCUGGCUCAGUCAGAAGAGCAUGAGACUCUUGAUCUCAAGUUGUGGGAUGAGCCCCAUGAUGGGCA
Molecule: transfer RNA, 71 nt
Filed under: Canis lupus familiaris (dog)
Lineage: Eukaryota; Metazoa; Chordata; Mammalia; Carnivora; Canidae
Also listed under: 1 other name
Rfam family: tRNA
About the family: Transfer RNA (tRNA) molecules are approximately 80 nucleotides in length.
Source: Rfam by way of RNAcentral